GUGGGGAAUAUUGGACAAUGGGCGAAAGCCUGAUCCAGCCAUGCCGCGUGUGUGAAGAAGGUCUUCGGAUUGUAAAGCACUUUAAGUUGGGAGGAAGGGCAGUAAGUUAAUACCUUGCUGUUUUGACGUUACCGACAGAAUAAGCACCGGCUAACUUCGUGCCAGCAGCCGCGGUAAUACGAAGGGUGCAAUCGUUAAUCGGAAUUACUGGGCGUAAAGCGCGCGUAGGUGGUUUUGUAAGUUGGAGGUGAAAUCCCCGGGCUCAACCUGGGAACUGCCUCCAAAACUGCAUGACUAGAGUACGGUAGAGGGUAGUGGAAUUUCCUGUGUAGCGGUGAAAUGCGUAGAUAUAGGAAGGAACACCAGUGGCGAAGGCGACUACCUGGACUGAUACUGACACUGAGGUGCGAAAGCGUGGGGAGCAAACAGGAUUAGAAACCCUGGUAGUCC
Molecule: ribosomal RNA, 450 nt
Filed under: uncultured bacterium
Lineage: Bacteria
Description: partial 16S ribosomal RNA
Rfam family: Bacterial small subunit ribosomal RNA
Source: RNAcentral